Molecule: ribosomal RNA, 376 nt
Filed under: Olavius sp. 'st andrea 3'
Lineage: Eukaryota; Metazoa; Annelida; Clitellata; Tubificida; Naididae
Description: partial 12S ribosomal RNA
Source: RNAcentral
UCAUAGUAUAUAAUAAAGUCGAUAAAUAAAAUCAAUAGAUUAAAAAUCAAAGAUCUUGGCGGUAUUUUAUAUAAUCAGGGGAGCCUGUCUCUUAAUAUGAUAAUCCACAAAAAUCUUACCAUGCUUUGAAAUACUCUCAACUUGUAUACUGCCGUAUAGCUCAACUUAAAUAAUUGAACAACAAAUAUUAUUAAUUACCAUAAAAAUUCAGGUCAAAGUGCAGUUAAUAGCAUUGGAGAAUAUGGGCUACACUUAAUUAAAUAACCCACUAAAUGAUAAAACUAAAAUAGAACUUGAUAGUAAUAAACUUUAAUUAUAAAUUUAUCAACUCACAAUAAAAUAUGUACAUAUCGCCCGUCACUCUUAUUGAAAAAUA